GAUGAACGCUGGCGGCGUGCCUAAUACAUGCAAGUCGAGCGAACAGACGAGGAGCUUGCUCCUCUGACGUUAGCGGCGGACGGGUGAGUAACACGUGGAUAACCUACCUAUAAGACUGGGAUAACUUCGGGAAACCGGAGCUAAUACCGGAUAAUAUAUUGAACCGCAUGGUUCAAUAGUGAAAGACGGUUUUGCUGUCACUUAUAGAUGAAUCCGCGCCGCAUUAGCUAGUUGGUAAGGUAACGGCUUACCAAGGCAACGAUGCGUAGCCGACCUGAGAGGGUGAUCGGCCACACUGGAACUGAGACACGGUCCAGACUCCUAAGGGAGGCAGCAGUAGGAAAUCUUCCGCAAUGGGCGAAAGCCUGACGGAGCAACGCCGCGUGAGUGAUGAAGGUCUUCGGAUCGUAAAACUCUGUUAUUAGGGAAGAACAAAUGUGUAAGUAACUAUGCACGUCUUGACGGUACCUAAUCAGAAAGCCACGGCUAACUACGUG
This 497-nucleotide ribosomal RNA is filed under the name uncultured bacterium. RNAcentral describes it as "partial 16S ribosomal RNA". It matches the Rfam family "Bacterial small subunit ribosomal RNA", at positions 28 to 507 of the family's 1533-position model. The record is from RNAcentral.